Molecule: ribosomal RNA, 377 nt
Filed under: uncultured bacterium
Lineage: Bacteria
Description: bacterial SSU rRNA
Rfam family: Bacterial small subunit ribosomal RNA
Source: RNAcentral
AACGAACGCUGGCGGCAGGCUUAACACAUGCAAGUCGAACGGGUGCAGCAAUGCAUCAGUGGCAGACGGGUGAGUAACACGUGGGAACCUUCCUAGGGGUACGGAACAACUCAGGGAAACUUGAGCUAAUACCGUAUACGUCCGUAAGGAGAAAGAUUCAUCGCCCCUAGACGGGCCCGCGUCGGAUUAGGUAGUUGGUGGGGUAACGGCCUACCAAGCCUGCGAUCCGUAGCUGAUCUGAGAGGAUGAUCAGCCACACUGGGACUGAGACACGGCCCAGACUCCUACGGGAGGCAGCAGUGGGGAAUCUUGGACAAUGGGCGCAAGCCUGAUCCAGCCAUGCCGCGUGAGUGAAGAAGGCCUUAGGGUUGUAAAGC